This 377-nucleotide ribosomal RNA is filed under the name uncultured bacterium. RNAcentral's name for it is "bacterial SSU rRNA". It matches the Rfam family "Bacterial small subunit ribosomal RNA", at positions 362 to 760 of the family's 1533-position model. The record is from RNAcentral.
UUUUAGACAAUGGGCGCAAGCCUGAUCUAGCCAUGCCCCGUGAGCGAUGAAGGCCUUAGGGUUGUAAAGCUCUUUCAGAUGGGAAGAUAAUGACGGUACCAUCAGAAGAAGCCCCGGCUAACUCCGUGCCAGCAGCCGCGGUAAUACGGAGGGGGCUAGCGUUGUUCGGAAUUACUGGGCGUAAAGCGCGCGUAGGCGGAUUGGAAAGUUGGGGGUGAAAUCCCGGGGCUCAACCUCGGAACUGCCUUCAAAACUCCCAGUCUUGAGUUCGAGAGAGGUGAGUGGAAUUCCGAGUGUAGAGGUGAAAUUCGUAGAUAUUCGGAGGAACACCAGUGGCGAAGGCGGCUCACUGGCUCGAUACUACGCUGAGUCAAAUC